AAUGUUUGACGUCAUUGACUUUUUAGCACAUGUUUGACCAUUCGUCUUAUUCAAAAAAUUUAAGUAAUUAUUAAUUCUUUUCCUAUCAUUUGAUUCAUUGUUAAAUAUAUUUUUGUGUAGGCAUAUAAUUUUACAUAUUUCAUAAAAGUUUUUGAAUAAGACGAACGGUCAAACAUGUGCUAAAAAAUCAAUGGUGUCAAAUAUU
This 205-nucleotide microRNA precursor is filed under the name Oryza rufipogon (brownbeard rice). RNAcentral's name for it is "MIR812 microRNA precursor family". It matches the Rfam family "MIR812 microRNA precursor family". Lineage: Eukaryota; Viridiplantae; Streptophyta; Magnoliopsida; Poales; Poaceae. The record is from Rfam by way of RNAcentral.